Molecule: ribosomal RNA, 484 nt
Filed under: uncultured bacterium
Lineage: Bacteria
Description: partial 16S ribosomal RNA
Rfam family: Bacterial small subunit ribosomal RNA
Source: RNAcentral
AUUGAACGCUGGCGGCAUGCUUUACACAUGCAAGUCGAACGGCAGCGCGGGCUUCGGCCUGGCGGCGAGUGGCGAACGGGUGAGUAAUACAUCGGAACGUGCCCAGUAGUGGGGGAUAGCUCGGCGAAAGCCGGAUUAAUACCGCAUACGACCUGAGGGUGAAAGCGGGGGAUCUUCGGACCUCGCGCUAUUGGAGCGGUCGAUGGCAGAUUAGCUAGUUGGUGGGGUAAGGGCCUACCAAGGCGACGAUCUGUAGCUGGUCUGAGAGGACGACCAGCCACACUGGGACUGAGACACGGCCCAGACUCCUACGGGUGGCAGCAGUGGGGAAUUUUGGGCAAUGGGCGAAAGCCUGAUCCAGCAAUGCCGCGUGUGUGAUGAAGGCCUUCGGGUUGUAAAGCACUUUUGGCGGGAACGAAAAGGACUGUGCCAAUACCACGGUUCGAUGACGGUACCCGCAGAAUAAGCACCGGCUAACUACGUG